CAGCCGCCGCGGGAAAACAGAGGGUGCGAGCGUUAAUCGGAUUUACUGGGCGUAAAGCGUGCGUAGGCGGCUUCUUAAGUCGGAUGUGAAAUCCCUGAGCUUAACUUAGGAAUUGCAUUCGAUACUGGGAAGCUAGAGUAUGGGAGAGGAUGGUAGAAUUCCAGGUGUAGCGGUGAAAUGCGUAGAGAUCUGGAGGAAUACCGAUGGCGAAGGCAGCCAUCUGGCCUAAUACUGACGCUGAGGUACGAAAGCAUGGGGAGCAAACAGGAUUAGAUACCCCAGUAGUUCCUGUCUCUUAUAC
This 301-nucleotide ribosomal RNA is filed under the name uncultured bacterium. RNAcentral's name for it is "partial 16S ribosomal RNA". It matches the Rfam family "Bacterial small subunit ribosomal RNA", at positions 509 to 807 of the family's 1533-position model. The record is from RNAcentral.